RNAcentral lists this transfer RNA (75 nucleotides) under Caudoviricetes sp. RNAcentral's name for it is "tRNA-Trp". It matches the Rfam family "tRNA". From Rfam's summary of the family: Transfer RNA (tRNA) molecules are approximately 80 nucleotides in length. Their secondary structure includes four short double-helical elements and three loops (D, anti-codon, and T loops). Further hydrogen bonds mediate the characteristic L-shaped molecular structure. tRNAs have two regions of fundamental functional importance: the anti-codon, which is responsible for specific mRNA codon recognition, and the 3' end, to which the tRNAs corresponding amino acid is attached (by aminoacyl-tRNA synthetases). tRNAs cope with the degeneracy of the genetic code in two manners: having more than one tRNA (with a specific anti-codon) for a particular amino acid; and 'wobble' base-pairing, i.e. permitting non-standard base-pairing at the 3rd anti-codon position. The record is from RNAcentral. Lineage: Duplodnaviria; Heunggongvirae; Uroviricota; Caudoviricetes.
AGGUUCUUAGUUUAAUGGUAAAAUAUCGGUCUCCAAAACCGUAAGAUUUCUGUUCGAAUCAGAAAGAGCCUGCCA